UACGUAGGGGGCAAGCGUUGUUCGGAUUUACUGGGCGUAAAGGGCGCGUAGGCGGUCGUGACAAGUCACUUGUGAAAUCCCUGGGCUUAACCUGGGAACUGCAGUCGAAACUGCGUGUCUUGAGUGCCUGAGAGGAUGGCGGAAUUCCCGGUGUAGUAGUGAAAUACGUAGAUAUCGGGAAGAACACCUGAGGCGAAGGCGGCUAUCUGGCGGUGCACUGACGCUGAGGCGCGAAAGCGUGGGGAGCAAACAGG
This 254-nucleotide ribosomal RNA is filed under the name uncultured bacterium. Its description in RNAcentral is "partial 16S ribosomal RNA". It matches the Rfam family "Bacterial small subunit ribosomal RNA", at positions 524 to 776 of the family's 1533-position model. The record is from RNAcentral.